UGACAGUCAUUGAAGAAGUGCUAAAGGCAAUUGGCCUGUGAUAAAGGCAUUGGAGAGGUGGUAAAGGCAUUGGGUCUGUGAUAAAGGCAUUGGAGAGGUGGUAAAGGCAUUGGGUCUGUGAUAAAGGCAUUGGAGAGGUGGUAAAGGCAUUGGGUCUGUGAUAAAGGCAUUGGAGAGGUGGUAAAGGCAUUGUAGAGGUGGUAAAGCCAUUGGGUCUUUGAUAAAGGCAUUGAGAGGUGGUAAAGCCAUUGGAUCUGUGAUAAAGUUAUUGGAGAGGUGGUAAAGCCAUUGGGUCUGUGAUAAAGGCAUGGAGAGCUGUUAAAGGCAGUGGGUCUGUGAUAAAGGCAGUGGAGAGGUGGUAAAGCCAUUGGGUCUGUGAUAAAGGCAUGGAGAGGUGGUAAAGGCAUUGGGUCUGUGAUAAAGCCAUUGGGUCUGUGAUGAGUGAUAAGUCUGUGUAGGUGUUUAAACAGGUGUUGAUGUGUUGGUGAGGUUUUUAGGCACUGGGCAGUUGUUGAGACUUGGAUUAAGUGUUGUGCCUUCGGGCAGGUGUUGCAGUUUUU
Ictalurus punctatus (channel catfish) is the source of this 560-nucleotide long non-coding RNA. NCBI's taxonomy places the organism in Eukaryota, Metazoa, Chordata, Actinopteri, Siluriformes, Ictaluridae. The record is from Ensembl.